RNAcentral lists this ribosomal RNA (468 nucleotides) under uncultured bacterium. Its description in RNAcentral is "partial 16S ribosomal RNA". It matches the Rfam family "Bacterial small subunit ribosomal RNA", at positions 28 to 507 of the family's 1533-position model. The record is from RNAcentral.
GACGAACGCUGGCGGCGUGCUUAACACAUGCAAGUCGAACGGAAAGGCCCUGCUUUUGUGGGGUGCUCGAGUGGCGAACGGGUGAGUAACACGUGAGUAACCUGCCCUUGACUUUGGGAUAACUUCAGGAAACUGGGGCUAAUACCGGAUAGGAGCUCCUGCUGCAUGGUGGGGGUUGGAAAGUUUCGGCGGUUGGGGAUGGACUCGCGGCUUAUCAGCUUGUUGGUGGGGUAGUGGCUUACCAAGGCUUUGACGGGUAGCCGGCCUGAGAGGGUGACCGGCCACAUUGGGACUGAGAUACGGCCCAUACUCCUACGGGAGGCAGCAGUGGGGAAUAGUGCACAAUGGGCGGAAGCCUGAUGCAGCAACGCCGCGUGCGGGAUGACGGCCUUCGGGUUGUAAACCGCUUUCGCCUGUGACGAAGCGUGAGUGACGGUAAUGGGUAAAGAAGCACCGGCUAACUACGUG